UACGGAAGGCAGCAGUGGGGAAUAUUGCACAAUGGGCGAAAGCCUGAUGCAGCUAUGCCGCGUGUAUGAAGAAGGCCUUAGGGUUGUAAAGUACUUUCAUCGGGGAGGAAAAAACAAAACUAAUAAUUUUAUUUCUUGACGUUACCCGAAAAAGAAGCACCGGCUAACUCCGUGCCAGCAGCCGCGGUAAUACGGAGGGUGCUAGCGUUAAUCAGAAUUACUGGGCGUAAAGAGCACGUAGGUAGUUUUUUUAAGUCAGAUGUGAAAUCCCUGGGCUUAACCUAGGAACUGCAUUUUGAAACUGAAAUACUAGAGUAUCGUAGAGGGAGGUAGAAUUCUAGGUGUAGCGGUGAAAUGCGUAGAUAUCUGGAGGAAUACCUGUGGCGAAAGCGGCCUCCUAAACGAAUACUGACACUGAGGUGCGAAAGCGUGGGGAGCAAACAGGGAUUAGAUACC
Molecule: ribosomal RNA, 456 nt
Filed under: uncultured bacterium
Lineage: Bacteria
Description: bacterial SSU rRNA
Rfam family: Bacterial small subunit ribosomal RNA
Source: RNAcentral